RNAcentral lists this ribosomal RNA (117 nucleotides) under Pogona vitticeps (central bearded dragon). Lineage: Eukaryota; Metazoa; Chordata; Lepidosauria; Squamata; Agamidae. The record is from RNAcentral.
CUUGGUACCUUCGUACUACCCUGAGCACACCUGAUCUUGUCAGAUUUCAGAAACUUUGCAGGGUUGAGCUGAAUUAGUAUCUGAAUGGGAGUGUAUUUGAAUGGGAGUUCACCAAGA